GGCCUCCAGGAGAAGGACAUAGACAGCGGGGCAAGCCAGAGCGCCGGAAACCAGCCGCCGCACGGAAACAAACCCUUCCCGGAAGAACCUUGUAUUGGCAGUUGACCAGAAUGUGGAGACUUCAAUACCUUCCCUGGAGGAGCCGCCCACUCUGGUUAACCUCUUGGGCAGGAGGCUAGUGCUCAUGGGCACCAGUUUCCUUGUGUUCAUCAUCACUUUGGCUUCUCCUGCAUCUCCUGGACAAUCCUCUCCUGUGCACGCCCUCCAGAUCCGCAGACCUGCUUAUCCAGUCUCCUACUUACCUCAGUGUUUGGCUGAGGGCUUGGUUUGAGGUAUUCCUGCAGCUGGCAUGGCCACCUCGCCUUCCUCUCCCUCUUUUGGACUGAGCAUCACACCUGGUGAAGACCCAUAU
This is a non-coding RNA of Phalacrocorax carbo (great cormorant), 412 nucleotides long. Lineage: Eukaryota; Metazoa; Chordata; Aves; Suliformes; Phalacrocoracidae. The record is from RefSeq and is a predicted model, not a curated record.